Molecule: long non-coding RNA, 746 nt
Organism: Rhagoletis pomonella (apple maggot)
Lineage: Eukaryota; Metazoa; Arthropoda; Insecta; Diptera; Tephritidae
Exons: 2
Source: RefSeq, a predicted model, not a curated record
AAGGCGAUAAGCUUUUGUUCGCGCUUUUAUAGCUUCCCUGACUUUGGUGUUAAACCAAGGACAAGGUGAUGCUUUACCAUAACGCAGCGGAACAGCCAAAAUACCAACAUUCAUUCCAAACAACAUUUUCUAGCUCCAAACGCAGUGCAUUUAGGUUGAUUGAGCGAAAGUCUCUGAAGGUAUACACUUUUCCACUGCAAGAAUCACUAAAGUGAAUGUCAAAAGAGCAAAAAGUUAAAUCAUGAAAUUUGGUCAAAUUUUAACACAGAGGAAUGAUCGGACACGACAAAAUAAUCAAGAAGACUAGGAUUACAAUUAUUACAGAAUCUAGUAGGUGUUGAAGAAUUAACGAUGGAGAGACCAAGAUUUGAGACAUCAUCUGAGAAGGAGGAACAUAUUUUAUCACGGACAAGAAUAUUGUUAUUAAAAUCACCACAGAGUAUAACAUUAUCAUAGUCAAUAAGCAUCGUGGACAGUUUCUCAAAUAAAGGACUUGUACAAGAGGAUCUAUUAGGAUUAUACACACAAGAGGCAAGAACUUUUUUUAGGCGAUCGGUCAAUUCAACAAAUAAAAACUCAAUUUCCUCAGUACUUGAUUCGCAAACAAGCUUCAUGUUUAUGUGGUUCUUGCAGUAAAUUGCAACACCGCCACCUCUUUUGCCAAUUCGAUCAUUUCGCAUAAGCUUAUAAUUUCUUAUGCUAAAGUGGACAUCACUAACAUCCUUAGGGAACCAAGUUUCUGACAC